AGAAUCAACGCUGGCGGCGUGCCUAACACAUGCAAGUCGAACGCGGAUACCCCGCAAGGGGUGACUGAGUGGCAAACGGGUGAGUAACGCGUGGGUGACCUACCUUCGAGUGGGGGAUAACGUUUCGAAAGGAACGCUAAUACCGCAUGACAUCCUGCCUUUGGACAGGCGGAGAUCAAAGCCGGGAUCGCAAGACCUGGCGCUUAAAGAGGGGCCCGCGUCCGAUUAGCUAGUUGGUGGGUAACGCUCACCAAGGCGACGAUCGGUA
Molecule: ribosomal RNA, 268 nt
Filed under: uncultured soil bacterium
Lineage: Bacteria
Description: partial 16S ribosomal RNA
Rfam family: Bacterial small subunit ribosomal RNA
Source: RNAcentral